Synchiropus splendidus (mandarinfish) is the source of this 1939-nucleotide long non-coding RNA. RefSeq lists it as uncharacterized. Lineage: Eukaryota; Metazoa; Chordata; Actinopteri; Syngnathiformes; Callionymidae. The transcript has 3 exons. The record is from RefSeq and is a predicted model, not a curated record.
UACAAGGACGAGCGCUGGAUCAGCUCCGGACCGAGUCUCACCAUCCCGGUCCUGGAGCCCAGACACAGAGGACGGUACCACUGUCGAGCCUGGAACAAUGUCAGUCGAGCGGGUGAAGCAACUGUGGCCUCAGCCAACGUGGAUCUGGAUGUCAAGUGUCACCAAACAGUCUUCCAGCUGGCCAGAAUCGGAGUCGGCCUCCUGAUCCUCAGCGUUCUCUUAUUCUGCUGCUGCAAACACUCCACUAUCCUGCAGAGCUGCCCGCACCUGCGGAGGGACACGACCAGCGUCGCCACAUCAACAUCACCGGCAGUCGAUCUGGAACUUUAUGAAGAAAUCUAGUUUGUUGCUCCGAAGUCUGUCUACUCUCCACAGUCAACUGGAGAUGACUGACAACACUCUUUGGUCCCUCUUUUAUGUCCAUGGCUUUUGAUGUCCUUUUUGUGGGAUACUGUCAACAUAUAAUCUGGUCCACUGUUCUUAUCGGCUUGCUUCUGCUGGUUGACUGGCUCAUCCGGUCUCUGUGGUAAAUAAUUCCUCCAUACCAUCUCUGAUCCCCAGAGGUUCCUUAUCCUUCACAUUCCUUCACUUAGAGGAAGGUAGGUACUUUCCCCCACAAACUCAGGAUCAGAUCAGGCAGUUAAAUGGCUCAUCGACUGCUCCUUGGUCCUCAUACCAGGUGGUUCCUACCUUCCAUAACUCACUCUUUCACCCCACACAGUCUUCCACACAUACAGGGGCAAAUUGAGGUUACCUUACCCAAUAUCACAGCGUCUGCUGGACUCAAUCUUCCAUUAGACAAAUGCUCAUGCGUGUGUGUGUGUGUGGUUUUCUUUCAAGAACGCACACCUGAAAUGUAACCAGCAUCGAGAGAAUCUACGAACUGAACUGAGGAGUCAGAAUCACAAACUGACAUCCCACAGACAUGUCCUGGCAGUCGAGACGUCUCCAAGUAGUUUAUAGUUGAAAAUGCCUUCCACUUGAACCAGGACAGUGUAGAGGACUGGUUGAGGCGCUGAGUGAUCUCGGGGACUCUUAGUGCUGUCUUCACAGACCGUACCUCCCGUUCCCAAGCCCCUCCGAAGUGUGGCGCACUUGGCGUGUUACACUUAAAGGAGGUUUUGCCAUUUCAUCUUUCAAUUCAGGUGCCAUGGUGUUGAAUGCCUCCCACAGCUCCCGUUCUCCCCCAACAAAGUUAGUACCGUUGUCACACAGAAGUUCAAAUGGUGUGUCAUGCAAUGAAUGAGCAAUGAAUCUGCACAAUGACAACAGGAAGGCAUCUGUAUGAAGGCUGGCGCCAUCCCGAAUAGACUUUCUCACAUUAAGUAAAUAUCAUUAUUCCAUAUGUAUAUACAUAUAUGUAGCGCAGUGCACCUGUUACGCCCUUGGAUGGCGCUAACCUUGUGAGAAUGUUUAUGUUUGUUGGGGUUUCUUCACAUGUUUGUUCAGUGUGACUUGCCAUUGAGGUGGACAUGACAAUCACUGAGUAUUUCGUGGUCUGUUUAGAGUUGGUUGUUGACAUAGCAAUAUAUUUUGUAUUCACUUCAUAUCCAUGUGUUUGACUGAUCUGUGAUGUAUGCUAUUUUGUCAAUUUUAUUGGGAAUGAUCGCUGUCUGUCUGUCAAAAGUCCACAUAUACGAUCGACUCACCGAUCGAAUUCAGCUUCCAUAUUGCGCUACUGUGUAUUCACCGAUUGCUGCCGCAGUGUUGGCGGAGCUCGUCAUCUACCGUGUGAUGCUGCCACCUGCCGUCCAGCGAAGUCCAUUGCACUAUACUGUCCAAAUGUGGCGUAAUAAUUAACAGUCACGGUUUGACUGAAAACGCGAGGCUUGGCGGAGCCAAGUGCCUGUCUGUUUUUCAUUCAAAAUCAAUAUGCUCGUUUAUGCUUUGGGUUUUUUUUCUGCUUUUCUAGAUAACUGAUUACCUAUCCCUUUAUUCA